This 2093-nucleotide long non-coding RNA is filed under the name Aquilegia coerulea. Its description in RNAcentral is "long non-coding RNA (ACOE_LNC000369)". The record is from RNAcentral. Lineage: Eukaryota; Viridiplantae; Streptophyta; Magnoliopsida; Ranunculales; Ranunculaceae.
UUCAAUUGCAAAAACUGCAGACUUUGUUAAAAAUAGUUAUCUCAAGCUGACUGCAGUCCAUCAUCUUUAUCCAAACAACCAUUACUUGUUCAAAUAGAAUAUAUAUCUUGAAUAAUUCACGACUUAUAGUCAAAUAUCAUACUGAAAAUAUCCCAAUGUAACCACCAAAUGUAAAAGUUCAACAACACAUUGAUGUUCAUUUUAUUCUAAUAUAAGAAAACCGCAAUUUGAAGAACCACUCAUGGUCCAACAGUUAGGCUGAUUCAUCCAUGUCCUUUGCAGAGCAGCCUGCAGUGCCCCCAAGCUCUACAUUCUCAAACAUGUUGAUCCCUGCAAUCAUAAGGAUAUAGACUUGACUCAACUGAAUGCAGACAAAAUCCAAAUAAAGGUAAAUCACUAAAUGUGGAAUUCAUAUUGGGAUAAUGAAGGUGUACAUCCAAAAUUCAGAUAAAACUCGUUCCAUUGGCAAUCUUUGAAGUAAAAAAAAAAUAAAAAAAAGGUCAAGCCUGCAAGAUAUGUACCUUCAUUUGUUCUUCCCUCCUCUUUUGCUAUUAAAAACAUACAAGAAGAAAGUAAGAAAGUCAGAAUGUUGUUAAUACAUACAAUGUUUAAACGCAUGCUUUUAUCAUCUUUAUCUUAAAUGCAACAAAGAAGAAAGAAAAUAACACCUAGCCUCUGAAUAUUUUCGGCCACAACAGUUUUCAUCUUCUUCAAUUCCUGCCAACAGAAUUACGAAAAUGAUAUUUUCAAUCGACAAAACAAAACUUUUCAGCAAAUGUAUUCAAAUGGUAUACAAGACGAAAAUCUUAUUUACCUCGUAAAACUCCUCCAUCCUGUUUCAAGAAGUGAAGAAGGUUAGUAUGAUCCAUAAUCAUUCAAAAACUGUUAUUUUUAAUUAACCAACUUGUUCCCCAAGGAAAGUCAGACAGGGAUUUACCCUUUCACAGAUGAUGGAAGAAAAUAUGUAUCCAGAAAUCUACUCAGAAAUGCAACGAAAUCAUAGAAAAUAUUGUCAUUUGGACAAUAACAACAUAAUCAUUGACAUAAUAUUCCAACAUUUAAGCCAACGAAAUGCAUGGAACUACAAAGAGGGUCAUGUCCAAAUGACUGCCCACCUAAAGACAGAACAUGUUGCUGGAAAUCAUAGAUAUCAAGGAGCAUAUGUCUAUAGAUUCUUUUAAAUCGUAACAUGAAGUAAUCUUGGUGAACAACUAAUAUAAUGCUUUAUUUGAACUUGGAAACAAAAAUCAUGCUGGAUCGGAAAGUAACCUGCGCUCGCUGCAGGCCACGAAUGGCUCUCCAGACGGACUGACUGUUUGAAAUUGAAACUCUGCGCCAUACUGAACAGACAAAUCAUCAAACUUCUUCACAAGGCUAGCAUGACGCUUAGCAUAAUAGCUUUCCAUGUCUCUUACAACCUUUACUUGCUUUACCUUCCUUCUUGCCAUCUAGAAAACAAGAACUUAUCAGCAGCAUAAAAAUGAAAAGAGAAAGAAUAUAGAUAUAGGAUAAGUUACCACUCUGUACGAUCCUUCAGGUAACCACAAACAGAGAUUCAUAUUAUAAAUCUGUCGAGGCAACAGUAUUCAACAAACAGAUAUAUAUGUACACCUAACAUGAUGAAAUUGAUAUUUUAUAGACAUAAAAAGCCGUAACUUCUUCGUAGGCGAAGUAUUACAUAACAGAGAUUUAGUAAAAUACCAGAGAAGAACCCAAAGGAUUCUAUAUGUUCUUCUCCUUUGCUCCAUCCUAACUCUCUACUACCAAUGGAAGAGACAGAAAACAAUGUUUACCUGGAGUACUUCUGCUUCAAGGUGGUGAUGACCAUUGCUAUCACAUAUUGGUGGUUUAUAUAGACCGAGCUGGGUGAGCCAUAUUGAGUAAGUGAAUAGCUCCAAAUCCUAAUUUUAAUUAAAAAAGAUUUCAGUGGGACACUUGCAAAAGAAUAUCUAAUAAUAGGAAUUUUUUUAAUAUAGGGCCCUGCUUGGUUACCCCGCAAAAAUUUGCAUGAAAUUUAGCCUAAUUUAAUAUGCUUGAAACUCUUGAUAAUUAGUUUUAUGCACAAAAUUUAUGCAAAAGUUUGAUGUUAUUUC